UUGCAGAGGGCGCUUUGGCUUUGGCAGCGGUCCAAGUUCCUUGGAACAGGACGUCACAGAGGGUGAGAAUCCCGUACGUGGUCGCUAGCUAUUGCCGUGUAAAGCCCCUUCGACGAGUCGAGUUGUUUGGGAAUGCAGCUCUAAAUGGGAGGUAAAUUUCUUCUAAAGCUAAAUAUUGGCCAGAGACCGAUAGCGCACAAGUAGAGUGAUCGAAAGAUGAAAAGCACUUUGGAAAGAGAGUCAAACAGCACGUGAAAUUGUUGAAAGGGAAGCGCUUGCAGCCAGACUUGCUUGCAGUUGCUCAUCCGGGCUUUUGCCCGGUGCACUCUUCUGCAGGCAGGCCAGCAUCAGUUUGGGCGGUGGGAUAAAGGUCUCUGACACGUUCCUUCCUUCGGGUUGGCCAUAUAGGGGAGACGUCAUACCACCAGCCUGGACUGAGGUCCGCGCAUCUGCUAGGAUGCUGGCGUAAUGGCUGUAAGCGGCCCGUCUUGAAACACGGACCAAGGAGUCUAACAUCUAUGCGAGUGUUUGGGUGUCAAGCCCGAGCGCGUAAUGAAAGUGAACGGAGGUGGGAACCCGCAAGGGCGCACCAUCGACCGAUCCUGAAGUUUACGGAAGGAUUUGAGUAAGAGCAUGGCUGUUGGGACCCGAAAGAUGGUGAACUAUGCUUGAAUAGGGUGAAGCC
RNAcentral lists this ribosomal RNA (685 nucleotides) under soil fungal sp. DM2-343. Its description in RNAcentral is "eukaryotic LSU rRNA". It matches the Rfam family "Eukaryotic large subunit ribosomal RNA", at positions 150 to 853 of the family's 3401-position model. The record is from RNAcentral. Lineage: Eukaryota; Fungi.